RNAcentral lists this ribosomal RNA (911 nucleotides) under uncultured bacterium. RNAcentral's name for it is "bacterial SSU rRNA". It matches the Rfam family "Bacterial small subunit ribosomal RNA", at positions 1 to 929 of the family's 1533-position model. The record is from RNAcentral.
UGAUGGAAGCUGCAGAGUUCGCCCUUAGAGUUUGAUCCUGGCUCAGGACGAACGCUGGCGGCGCGCUUAACACAUGCAAGUCAUUGUAGCAAUACAAGGCGCACGGGUGAGUAACGCGUAGGUGAUCUGCCCCUAUCACAGGCAUAACGUUGGGAAACUAGCGAUAAUACCUGAUGAGGCCUCUGGGUCAAAGAUUUAUCGGAUAGGGAUGAGCCUGCGUUAGAUUAGCUAGUUGGUGAGGUAAAGGCUCACCAAGGCGACGAUCUAUAGCUGGUCUGAGAGGACGAUCAGCCACACUGGUACUGAGACACGGACCAGACUCCUACGGGAGGCAGCAGUGAGGAAUUUUGGACAAUGGAGGAAACUCUGAUCCAGCGACGCCGCGUGUUGGAUGAAGGGGCUUAGCCCUGUAAACAACUGUCAGAUGGGGAAAAAAGCCUGCUAUGUGGGCUGGGAUUGUACCAUCAGAGGAAGGGUCGGCUAACUACGUGCCAGCAGCCGCGGUAAUACGUAGGACCCGAGCGUUGUCCGGAUUUACUGGGUAUAAAGGGUGCGCAGGCGGAUCUGUGCGUCAGAGGUUAAAUACCCCGGCUCAACCGGGGAGGUGCCUUUGAUACGGCAGGUCUUGAAUGUGAGAGAGGAUGAUAGAAUUCCUGGUGUAGCGGUGGAAUGCGUAGAUAUCAGGAGGAAUACCAAUGGCGAAGGCAGUCAUCUGGCUCAUUAUUGACGCUUAGGCACGAAAGCGUGGGGAUCAAACAGGAUUAGAUACCCUGGUAGUCCACGCCCUAAACGAUGUAUGCUUGGUGUUGGGAGGUCAACUUUCAGUGCCGGAGGAAAUCUGUUAAGCAUACCACCUGGGGAGUACGAUCGCAAGGUUGAAACUCAAAGGAAUUGACGGAAGGGCGAAUCCA